This is a long non-coding RNA of Musa acuminata subsp. malaccensis (wild Malaysian banana), 891 nucleotides long. RefSeq lists it as uncharacterized. The record is from RefSeq and is a predicted model, not a curated record. Lineage: Eukaryota; Viridiplantae; Streptophyta; Magnoliopsida; Zingiberales; Musaceae.
CUUCUUAUUCUUGCCGAUCUCCCAAAUGGAAACCCUAUUCGAUCCUCCCCAUUUCCCGGCUCUUUCCGUGCGCCCACCCUCACCGCCAUGAGAAGGAGAUCGUUCCACUCCACUUCUGUCGCAUCUUCAUCUUCCCCCCACCUCGAUCCUCCUGCAAACCCUCACCCCCGCCAAACCCUAGAUCGGAUUCGGAUCCUAUGGCACCGAAUCCGCGCGCUCCUUGAAGUCCUGUUGGCACUCCGUAAAAUCGUUAUCGCAACGACAGAGGUCCAGCUAAAAGGGAGAUACCAAGGCCACAAAUAUGGAAUCAAUGAUGCCAGAAGCAUGUGAUGCAACCCCAGAAAGGAUUAUUGCUCUCCAAUUGUACACUCAGCUACCAACACAAAGGACUUUGGCUUUGCGCCCGAGGAUUGAUCGAAGGUAAGGAGCAUAAUUAUCUAAUCCAAUCUUUUCUGAUGGUGAUAUAAAACUUCUCGUUGAUGGAAAUUGAUGCAAGCACACACAGCCAUUUCUGAUCACAGGCAACAUGUCCGUAUGCUUGCUAUGGUGGAAAUGAUAAUGCUGCAACUAUGUAUGAUUGCUGUGGAAUGGCUGUGUCGGCAGAGAGAGAGAGAGAGAGAGGAGUAAACCUGGUCUUUUAUUGCCUUGUGGUUGCUAGUUGACAAACGAGGACGGUGACGCAGGAAUAUGCUUGCACUCGCCGAGGAGUACGACGGCGAAUAAAAGCCGCGUCUGUGGGGUCAUUCGCCACGGCGGGAGUUCCCUCCAGUCCGACCAAGAUGCGGCGCGGCUCACACGGGCGUGAGGAGAGUUGCGUCCGAGCAUGAAGACUUCGCUACUCUUUCUCUGUUGUUGCACUAACUCUUUUCUUUUGUGAAACAAAAAGAGAAU